RNAcentral lists this ribosomal RNA (466 nucleotides) under uncultured bacterium. RNAcentral's name for it is "partial 16S ribosomal RNA". It matches the Rfam family "Bacterial small subunit ribosomal RNA", at positions 28 to 507 of the family's 1533-position model. The record is from RNAcentral.
GACGAACGCUGGCGGCGUGCUUAACACAUGCAAGUCGAACGGAAAGGCCCUGCUUGCAGGGUCCUCGAGUGGCGAACGGGUGAGUAACACGUGGGUGAUCUGCCCUGCACUUCGGGAUAAGCCUGGAGAACUGGGUCUAAUACCGGAUAGGAGCCAUCUUUAGUGGGGGGGUGGGAAAGUUUUUUCGGUGUAGGAUGAGCUCGCGGCCUAUCAGCUGGUUGGUGGGGUAAUGGCCUACCAAGGCUGCGACGGGGAGCCGGCCUGCGAGGGUGUACGGCCACACCGGGACCGAGCGACGGCCCAGAGUCCUACGGGUGGCAGCAGUGGGGAAUAUUGCACAAUGCGCGCAAGCCUGAUGCAGCGACGCCGCGUGGGGGAAGAAGGCCUUUGGGUUGUAAACACCUUUCGCUAGUGAUGAAGCGUUGUUGUGACGGUACCUAGAGAAGAAGCACCGGCUAACUACGUG